UGCAAGUCGUACGAGGACGAAGGUUCGCCUUCGAGCCGAGUGGCGAACGGGUGCGUAACACGUGACCAAUCUGCCCUUGGGAGGGGGACAACCUGGGGAAACCCGGGCUAAUACCGCAUGAUGCGUCUCCAUCGCAUGUCGGAGACGCCAAAGGAGGGCCUCUACUUGUAAGCUCUCGCCCAAGGAGGAGGUCGCGGCGUAUCAGCUUGUUGGUGGGGUAACGGCCUACCAAGGCUACGACGCGUAGCGGGUCUGAGAGGACGACCCGUCACAUUGGGACUGAGAUACGGCCCAGACUCCUACGGGAGGCAGCAGUAAGGAAUAUUGCGCAAUGGUCGAAAGACUGACGCAGCGACGCCGCGUGUGGGAGGAAGCCUUUCGGGGUGUAAACCACUGUCAGACGGGAAGAACUCCGCUCGUCCAAACAGGGCGGGCGGCUGACGGUACCGUCAGAGGAAGCGCCGGCUAACUCCGUGCCAGCAGCCGCGGUAAGACGGGGGGCGCAAGCGUUGUUCGGAAUUACUGGGCGUAAAGCGCGGGCAGGUGGUUCGUUAAGUCUUUUGUGAAACUCCGGAGCUCAACUCCGGACAUGCGUAAGAUACUGGCGAACUAGAGACCGGUAGAGGCUAGCGGAAUUCCUGGUGUAGCGGUGGAAUGUGUAGAUAUCAGGAAGAACACCCGUGGCGAANGCGGCUAGCUGGGUCGGGUCUGACACUCAUCCGCGAAAGCGUGGGGAGCAAACAGGAUUAGAUACCCUGGUAGUCCACGCCGUAAACGAUGGGCACUAGGUGCCGGGCUUAUAGACGAGGUCGGUGCCGGAGCUAACGCAUUAAGUGCCCCGCCNGGGGAGUACNGCCGCNANGCUGAAACUCAAAGGAAUUGANNGGGGCCCGCACAAGCNGUGGANCAUGUGGUUUNNUUCGAAG
RNAcentral lists this ribosomal RNA (926 nucleotides) under uncultured bacterium. RNAcentral's name for it is "bacterial SSU rRNA". It matches the Rfam family "Bacterial small subunit ribosomal RNA", at positions 56 to 956 of the family's 1533-position model. The record is from RNAcentral.